Molecule: long non-coding RNA, 1717 nt
Organism: Monodelphis domestica (gray short-tailed opossum)
Lineage: Eukaryota; Metazoa; Chordata; Mammalia; Didelphimorphia; Didelphidae
Source: Ensembl
AUGGCAUGUGCAAAGCUGUGUAGUGACGAGGUCUUUAUGACAUGCUUCUGCUGUCUGCAAGCCCGAUCCUCUUACGUGGGCUCCGUAGGACAGCAAAACCGUGCGUUCCCAAGGAGCCCAUGGCCCUGCGGAGUGGACUGUUGGUUUAAUCCUCCACAUACAGGAGUUUUCUGUGCGCUGAAUGGCAAACCCAUGGUGAAUGGGCGGCAGAGCAAUCUAAACAAGAAUGGAUGCUCGUCUGUAUCUACUAAAGCCAAUGCUCUGGGUCAGCGCCCUGCUGACCCAAUCUCAAUUCCAUCUCUGCCCUGUGGGGUUGGGCAGCUGCAUGGCUCAGUGGAUGGAUGCAGAGCUGAGUGCAAACCCAGCUUCAGACACUUAUUAGCUGGGGGAACCUGGGCAAGUCACUCAACCUUUAUUUGCCACUGGAGAAGCAACUGGCAAAGCGCUCCCGGAUCUUUGCACGGUCCAGUCCACCGGGUCAUGAAUCGCUGGGCACGACUGAAUAGUAGCAAGCACUGGAUUUUGCCUGGAUUUCUGAUUAGCGAUGGAGAUCCUUCUUCCAGACCCAUUUCAAAAUGCCUUUCAAAACUUGUGGAUCAUCAUAGUAUUUAGACUUGCACCUCCCCAGCUUUACUGUGAAGACAUCGUCUAUACAGCCAAACGCGAGCUCCUUACUUUUGGCUGUCUUCUUCUUCUGUGUUAUCCCGGUGCCACUGAUGCUUCUUUAUUCGUCCGUUCAUGCGUUCAUUUGGUCCGAUGCAGUGUGGUUUGCUGCCUUCAGAAUGUUUAGUCCACCCGCCCAUCCAGCCAUCCAGAAUCAGGCAAGCAGCCAAGCACUGCUCUGCUCGCUCCGGCUAGCCCCAGGGCCGCAGAGGCCAACAUGGAGUGGUCCCAGGGGCGCCCCCGCACACGCACCUGUGCAGGUACAUGAGUAUACUUGGAGAUGCCAGUGAGACUGGGCGCUCCUCUAAAGGAGAGAAGGACAGAAACGGUGGCCCAGAGAAAGGCAGCGAGCUCAGAGGGAGACGGCCAGGCUGCCGUGGUGAUGGUGGGUCCGCUGCUGCGGCCGUGGAAGGGAGAUGGCGGCUGUUCCGUCCAUGGCCUCCCCAAGCACCCGAGGGAGCGGUCAGCGCUCUCAAGGCCGCAGCGCUGUAUUCUAGCGGCAGCCUCUCUCCUCCGAAGGGUCUCGGCCCCUCCCGCCCCGGCUCCCACAUCCUUGUUGGUUUGCUCUCUCCAGCUGCUAAGCUCCUCAGCCGGGCCGCGCUAGUCGCCGCUGUGCAGCCCAGGCGCAAGGCUGAAACGGACACCAGGAGGCCCUCCAGCCCUCACAGGUCAGGGGUUUGUGUGGCCCGAGCCUGCCCGGACUUUGGCCCGGACAGCGUCGUGUUGGCAUGGAAACGCAUCUGGGCAGUGUUGACUCCCAGGAAGUGGGGGGCCCGCUUUUCCUGGACUGUCUUUAGAUGCCCCAGUUCCGCUCUCCAACACCAACCCAGUAUCAGGGGCAGCCUUUGAAGGGGAAACGAGCUCAGCCUGGGGGAGGCCUUGGCAGACCUGGCAAGGCUUCCGGAGACACGACUUCUCCAAGAGGUCACCGGCUGCAUUCGUGCGUCCUUGGGGAAGAGAAAAAAGAGCGCGACUCUUCUCUGCACAAUCGCUGCUGCGGAGAAAACAAGGGUAUAUGUAAAUAAACACGAGGAGGAGGCCCUGCGCUACUGCA